RNAcentral lists this ribosomal RNA (423 nucleotides) under Triticum aestivum (bread wheat). Its description in RNAcentral is "partial small subunit ribosomal RNA". The record is from RNAcentral. Lineage: Eukaryota; Viridiplantae; Streptophyta; Magnoliopsida; Poales; Poaceae.
AUGUUAGAUACAUCGGGUUUAUCCAAGGCGUGGUGGGGGGAGGCUGUAUUGACAUCUUGUCAUGUCCUGAAUAAAGUUCCCACAAAGGAUAAUGAGACUACUCCCUAUGAGCAAUGGGAAAAGAAAAGAACUACACUCUCUUACUUGCGCACUUGGGGCUGUUUGGCCAAAGUCAACGUGCCGAUAGUCAAAAAGCGCAAGUUGGGACCAAAGACCGUGGACUGUGUUUUUCUUGGCUAUGCCAAGCAUAGCGUUGGCUAUGGAUUUCUAGUGGUGAAAUCUGAGGUACCUGACCAGAAGGUCGGUACAAUUAUAGAGUCUAGGGAUGCUACAUUCUUUGAGGAUAUUUUCCCCAUGAGAGAUAUGCAAAGCAAUUCUAGACUGGAAUCUGAUGAGACUCCUGAACCCGAUGGAAUAUUAUGA